UACGGAGGGUCCUAGCGUUGUUCGGAAUCAUUGGGCGUAAAGCGGGUGCAGGCGGUGGUGUAAGUCGGAUGUGAAAUCCCGGGGCCCAACCCCGGAACUGCAUUCGAUACUGCUCCACUGGAGUCCCGGAGAGGAAGGCGGAAUUCCCGGUGUAGAGGUGAAAUUCGUAGAUAUCGGGAGGAACACCAGUGGCGAAGGCGGCCUUCUGGACGGUGACUGACGCUCAUACCCGAAAGCGUGGGGAGCAAACAGG
Molecule: ribosomal RNA, 253 nt
Filed under: uncultured bacterium
Lineage: Bacteria
Description: partial 16S ribosomal RNA
Rfam family: Bacterial small subunit ribosomal RNA
Source: RNAcentral